AUUGAACGCUGGCGGCAGGCUUAACACAUGCAAGUCGAACGAGUGGCGGACGGGUGAGUAAUGCUUGGGAAUCUACCUUUUAGUCUAGGAUAACUACUGGAAACGGUGGCUAAUACCGCAUACUAUCGGAUGAACCCAUCUGGGAUUAGCUAGUAGGUGGGGUAAAGGCUCACCUAGGCGACGAUCUCUAGCUGGUCUGAGAGGAUGAUCAGCCACACUGGGACUGAGAAACGGCCCAGACUCCUACGGGAGGCAGCAGUGGGGAAUAUUGCACAAUGGGCGCAAGCCUGAUGCAGCCAUGCCGCGUGUAUGAAGAAGGCCUUAGGGUUGUAAAGUACUUUCAGUCGGGAGGCGUUACCGACAGAAGAAGCACCGGCUAACUCCGUGCCAGCAGCCGCGGUAAUAC
This 406-nucleotide ribosomal RNA is filed under the name uncultured bacterium. RNAcentral describes it as "partial 16S ribosomal RNA". It matches the Rfam family "Bacterial small subunit ribosomal RNA", at positions 30 to 526 of the family's 1533-position model. The record is from RNAcentral.